Molecule: ribosomal RNA, 253 nt
Filed under: uncultured bacterium
Lineage: Bacteria
Description: partial 16S ribosomal RNA
Rfam family: Archaeal small subunit ribosomal RNA
Source: RNAcentral
UACCCGCAGCACAAGUGGUGGUCAUUAUUAUUGGGCCUAAAGCGUCCGUAGCUGGCCUGUUAGAUGCCUGGGUAAAUCGAUGCGCUCAACGUAUCGAACUCCGGGUAGACCGGCAGGCUUGGGACCGGGAGAGAUGUGAGCUACUCGAGGGGUAGGGGUAAAAUCCUGUAAUCCUUCGGGGAGGACCAGUGGCGAAGGCGUCACAUUAGAACGGCUCCGACAGUGUGGGACGAAGCCCUGGGGCGCAAACCGG